RNAcentral lists this non-coding RNA (986 nucleotides) under Pongo abelii (Sumatran orangutan). The record is from RNAcentral. Lineage: Eukaryota; Metazoa; Chordata; Mammalia; Primates; Hominidae.
GGGGGCUGGCUGUCACGGAGGCGGCCCCGUCCUGGAGGGCACCUCGGGGCAGGUACUGACUUUCAUAGACAGGACCUCGGCCGGGAAUCGGGAAGGAUGGCCCCGGAAGUGAUAAGGCAGAAUUUCCAGGCAGGAGAAGUGGCAUUUAGGAGAACUGGCUAUUUAAGGGGGCGGUCAGAGCUGACACAGACAAAGCAUUCAUUGGCUGGGAAUGGCCGCCACCCAGUGGCUCUGAGAACUAGACUUGGAAGUCUGGCACUGGGAGCUGUGCCAACUUGGACCAAACUUUGGGCGCAAAGCACGACGUGGCAGACGAGGAACCACACUAGAACGAGCCACGCCUACCCAAGAUUUACAAGGCCGUCCUUUCCCUCAUGCAAUCGCAAUGGGAAAAGGAAACUAAGGCUCGGCCUCCCCUACUGAGCCUGGUUGGCGGAGGGGAGUCUCCAAGCCGCCGCCAUCUGGAGAACCAGCUUUGCAAGGACCCUCACUCACUACUCUUCGGCGGCCCCAAAGCCUCUGGGGGGCCCCCUAUGGCCACCACUUGCUCCUCGCCCAGGCAUCAUCUCAUGCCGCCGCCUCCCCCGGCCCUGGUGGAAGAAGCCAGCGCGGACCCCUGCCUCUCUGCCCCAGAAAGUCUUCGGAGAGAUGACUCUCUGCUGACAAGCUGGGGGAAGUUGGGGUACAGAGACCCCCGUUUUGCUGCUCAUCCCAGGGAAAUCCCGGCCCCACUCCUGACCUCAGACUCACUCCCACCCUCAAGUGGAUCGAGGUGGGGGUAGCUAGGGGCGCUGUCUCCAGUGACAAGGUCUCUGGGACCCCUCAUGGGCUCAAGACCCCCUCCCCCAGGCAGCAGCUGUGUGACUCAUCACCACCCCCUCUGCACCUCGGGCCCCCCCACUACAGCCGCCCCAUUCCCCGUCAGCGGCAGCCGGCUGCUGCGUCAGCCACUCACGCAGGGUGGUUAUUAAAGGAGAGAGACAUCA